This 2902-nucleotide ribosomal RNA is filed under the name Acinetobacter baumannii OIFC189. Its description in RNAcentral is "bacterial LSU rRNA". It matches the Rfam family "Bacterial large subunit ribosomal RNA". The record is from RNAcentral. Lineage: Bacteria; Pseudomonadati; Pseudomonadota; Gammaproteobacteria; Moraxellales; Moraxellaceae.
AGUCAAGUAAUUAAGUGCAUGUGGUGGAUGCCUUGGCAGUCAGAGGCGAUGAAAGACGUGAUAGCCUGCGAAAAGCUCCGGGGAGGCGGCAAAUAUCCUUUGAUCCGGAGAUGUCUGAAUGGGGGAACCCACCUACUUUAAGGUAGGUAUUGCAACAUGAAUACAUAGUGUUGCAAGGCGAACGAGGGGAAGUGAAACAUCUCAGUACCCUUAGGAAAAGAAAUCAAUUGAGAUUCCCUCAGUAGCGGCGAGCGAACGGGGAUCAGCCCAUUAAGUUAUGUGUGUUUUAGUGGAACGCUCUGGGAAGUGCGAACGUAGAGGGUGAUAUUCCCGUACACGAAAGGGCACACAUAAUAGAUGACGAGUAGGGCGAGGCACGUGAAACCUUGUCUGAAUAUGGGGGGACCAUCCUCCAAGGCUAAAUACUCCUGACUGACCGAUAGUGAACCAGUACCGUGAGGGAAAGGCGAAAAGAACCCCUGUGAGGGGAGUGAAAUAGAUCCUGAAACCGCAUGCAUACAAGCAGUGGGAGCACCUUCGUGGUGUGACUGCGUACCUUUUGUAUAAUGGGUCAGCGACUUAUAUUCAGUAGCGAGGUUAACCGUAUAGGGGAGCCGUAGAGAAAUCGAGUCUUAAUAGGGCGUUUAGUUGCUGGGUAUAGACCCGAAACCAGGCGAUCUAUCCAUGAGCAGGUUGAAGGUUGGGUAACACUAACUGGAGGACCGAACCCACUGUCGUUGAAAAGCCAGGGGAUGACUUGUGGAUAGGGGUGAAAGGCUAAUCAAGCCUGGUGAUAGCUGGUUCUCCCCGAAAGCUAUUUAGGUAGCGCCUCGGACGAAUACCAUAGGGGGUAGAGCACUGUUUCGGCUAGGGGGUCAUCCCGACUUACCAAACCGAUGCAAACUCCGAAUACCUAUGAGUACGAUCCGGGAGACAGACUGCGGGUGCUAACGUCCGUAGUCAAGAGGAAAACAAUCCAGACCGCCAGCUAAGGCCCCAAAAUCAUAGUUAAGUGGGAAACGAUGUGGGAAGGCAUAGACAGCUAGGAGGUUGGCUUAGAAGCAGCCACCCUUUAAAGAAAGCGUAAUAGCUCACUAGUCGAGUCGGCCUGCGCGGAAGAUGUAACGGGGCUAAAACUAUGUGCCGAAGCUGCGGAUUUGACAUUAGUCAAGUGGUAGGGGAGCGUUCUGUAAGCCGAUGAAGGUGUGUUGAGAAGCAUGCUGGAGGUAUCAGAAGUGCGAAUGCUGACGUGAGUAACGACAAAACGGGUGAAAAACCCGUUCGCCGAAAGACCAAGGGUUCCAGUCCAACGUUAAUCGGGGCUGGGUGAGUCGACCCCUAAGGCGAGGCCGAAAGGCGUAGUCGAUGGGAAAAUGGUUAAUAUUCCAUUACUUCUGUGUAAUGCGAUGAGAGGACGGAGAAGGCUAAAUCAGCCUGGCGUUGGUUGUCCAGGUGAAAGGAUGUAGGCAUGUAUCUUAGGCAAAUCCGGGGUACUCUAUGCUGAGAUCUGAUAGCAAGCUGUACUUGUACAGCGAAGUGGUUGAUGCCAUGCUUCCAGGAAAAGUCUCUAAGCUUCAGUUACACAGGAAUCGUACCCGAAACCGACACAGGUGGUCAGGUCGAGUAGACCAAGGCGCUUGAGAGAACUCUGCUGAAGGAACUAGGCAAAAUGGUACCGUAACUUCGGGAGAAGGUACGCUGUUGUUGGUGAUGGAACUCGCUUCCUGAGCUGACGACAGCCGCAGAAACCAGGCCGCUGCAACUGUUUAUUAAAAACAUAGCACUCUGCAAACACGAAAGUGGACGUAUAGGGUGUGAUGCCUGCCCGGUGCUGGAAGGUUAAUUGAUGGGGUUAGCGUAAGCGAAGCUCUUGAUCGAAGCCCCAGUAAACGGCGGCCGUAACUAUAACGGUCCUAAGGUAGCGAAAUUCCUUGUCGGGUAAGUUCCGACCUGCACGAAUGGCAUAAUGAUGGCGGCGCUGUCUCCAGCAGAGGCUCAGUGAAAUCGAAAUCGCUGUGAAGAUGCAGUGUACCCGCGGCUAGACGGAAAGACCCCGUGAACCUUUACUGCAGCUUGACACUGAACUUUGACCUUACUUGUGUAGGAUAGGUGGGAGGCUUUGAAGCUGGAACGCUAGUUCCAGUGGAGCCGUCCUUGAAAUACCACCCUGGUAAUGUUGAGGUUCUAACUCUGUCCCGUGAUCCGGGACGAGGACCGUGUCUGGUGGGUAGUUUGACUGGGGCGGUCUCCUCCUAAAGAGUAACGGAGGAGUACGAAGGUGCGCUCAGCGUGGUCGGAAAUCACGCGUAGAGUAUAAAGGCAAAAGCGCGCUUAACUGCGAGACCCACAAGUCGAGCAGGUACGAAAGUAGGUCUUAGUGAUCCGGUGGUUCUGUAUGGAAGGGCCAUCGCUCAACGGAUAAAAGGUACUCUGGGGAUAACAGGCUGAUACCGCCCAAGAGUUCAUAUCGACGGCGGUGUUUGGCACCUCGAUGUCGGCUCAUCUCAUCCUGGGGCUGAAGCAGGUCCCAAGGGUAUGGCUGUUCGCCAUUUAAAGAGGUACGCGAGCUGGGUUUAGAACGUCGUGAGACAGUUCGGUCCCUAUCUACCGUGGGCGCUGGAAAUUUGAGAGGAUCUGCUCCUAGUACGAGAGGACCAGAGUGGACGAACCUCUGGUGUACCGGUUGUGACGCCAGUCGCAUCGCCGGGUAGCUAUGUUCGGAAGGGAUAACCGCUGAAAGCAUCUAAGCGGGAAGCCUACCUCAAGAUAAGAUUUCCCUAGGACUUUAUGUCCUCUAAAGAGCCGUUCGAGACUAGGACGUUGAUAGGUUGGAUGUGGAAGCAUAGUGAUAUGUGAAGCUGACCAAUACUAAUUGCUCGUGAGGCUUGACUAUACAACACCC